UUUUUUUUUGUCUUUUUGUCUUUUCUAGGGCCACUCCCGCAACAUAUGGAGGUUUCCAGGCUAGGGAUCUAAUAGGAGUUGUAGCUGCUGGCCAACACCACAGCUCACGGCAACGUCAGAUCCUUAACCCACUGAGUGAGGCCAGGGAUCGAACCCACAACCUCAUGGUUCCUAGUCAGAUUCAUUAACCACUGAGCCACAACGGGAACUCCCUAUCUUCUGAUGUUUUUAAAAAAGAAGGGAGUUCCUGUUGUGGCUCAGAAGUAAUGAACCCAACUACUAUCCAUGGGGAUGUGGGUUCGAUCUCUGGCUUUGCUCAGUGGGUUAAGGAUCUGGUGUUGCCAAGCGCUGCAGUGUAGGUUGCAGACACGGCUCAGAUCUGGCGUCACUUGUGGCUGUGGUGUAGGCUGGCAGCUGUAGCUCUGAUUAGACCCCUAGCCUGGGAACCUCCAUAUGCCACAGGUAAGGCCCUAAAAAGACAUUAAAAAGGGGGGGACCCUCAAAAAAUUUCAAAGAUCCAAGUCUGCUCCAUGGUCAUUUUCUAAAAGUUCAAUCUUUUCACGUUGCUGACCAUUUGUCACAUUGCUUUUCCAGACUGGUAUAAAGCAUAAAGAAAGAAAGCAAAAACAAAAAAAAAACACCCGCAGGAAUUAUGUUAAAAAGAAAAAGAAGCAAGAAGCCCAAAAUGGAGUCACCCGUGCUAAGCCCCGUAGCAACAAACUAAAGCAUGAUACCUAACCUAAGGGCAGUUCUAGCCUCUCCCAGGAGUAGAAUUUUAAACCAAUCAGUCUGGAAUUUACUGAUCCACAUUAGGGAGGUAAUCUGCAAGGCAGACCCCAGCCCUCCCCCGCAAAGGAAGAGGACCUAGCCCUAAAUAAGCCUUUUCAUUCCUUGAAGGCUUCCUUCUCUACCUAUGAAAACCUUCCCUCUGGUACAGCUCUUCAGGGUGCUUUUCUACUUGCUACCUAUUGGGGUGCACCCCAAUUCAUUUAAUAAAUCCAACUGGGAGUUCUCUUCUGGAGCAGUAGGUUAAAGACCUGGCAUUAUCACUGCGUAGGCUUAGAUCCCUGCUGUGCACAGGUUCAAUCCCUAGUCCAGGAACUUCUACUUGCUGCAGGGCCAAAAGACAGAGAGAGAGAGAGAGAAAGAGAGAGAGAAUAGAUAGAGAUAAAAACAGAAUGUGUCCCAAAAAAACCCUUUAAAUCCAAGUAGAUAUUCAAGUUUACUCAGCUGAAUUUUUCUUUUUCAGAAUUAUUUGCCCAUUCAAAAUGUUUUAAGAGUUUCCUGGUGGCUGAGCGGGUUAAGGAUCAGGCACUGUCACUGCAGUGGCUCAGGUUGUUGUUGUGACAUUGGUUCAAUCCCUGGCCCAGGGACUUCCGCAUGACAAACACUCUGAUUACCCUUAUAUGAGGUACCUAGAGCCACCAAAUUCAUAGAGAAGCAAGUAGAAUGGUGGUGGUGGCUGCCAGGGGCCAGGGCCGGGGGUGUAACGGAGAGUUACUGUUUAACGGGUACAGAGUUUCAGCUGUGCAAGAGAUGGAGGAGGAGGAUGGCAGCACAACCAAGUGAAUAUACUAAAUGCCACCGAACUGCUUCCAAAGGUGAAAAUGGUUAAUUUCAUGUUAUGUAUAUAUUACCAAUUUUUAAACCAAAAAUGGGCAAGGAAAAAUGCUUUACAUAGGAAACCAUAUAUGAGAACAAGGUGUAAAGCAAUACUAAUACCCAGGUUUACAAAAUGUGUCAGAAAGGAAAACACGCGGCUCUCACUCAGGUGGAAAGUUCUCACAGCAGCAAUGUGGUACCCUCAUGGAUCUCCGCAGCCUCUUCGUUACUUAGCAACACUUUCUGCCAUCAAAUUCUACAGCCUGCCCACCAUGUUGGCAGGCUUGGUCCACCAGCUGGGUUUUUGCCAAGAGUGUCUUUAAAAAGUCAAACCUUCUUCUUCCCUCGGGACAUCUUCAAAGACAACUGCACCCCCAAAGUAAAUACAACCAAAAGGUCUAUUGCCUGCAUCCUUAUACUGCACUUCCCCCCGAGACAGAGCCCCAACUCCAGCUCCUCCCCCUGCAGCCCUCCUGGAUUCAGGCCUGGAAACCAGAUGCCCAGGUGGGCUUGGUCAGACAUCCUUUCACCCCAUGCUGUCUCAGGGAUUCCAGACACCUUGCAAUCACACAGAAAGGCCAUUUUGCCCCCACCCUGGGCAGCCCCCCC
RNAcentral lists this long non-coding RNA (2211 nucleotides) under Sus scrofa (pig). Its description in RNAcentral is "lncRNA (ENSSSCG00005045708.1)". The record is from RNAcentral. Lineage: Eukaryota; Metazoa; Chordata; Mammalia; Artiodactyla; Suidae.